UCUUGGAUUAUUACAAUUAUAUAUAUAAAGAAUCGUCUAAUAUUUAGAGUAAUGGAGAGUGAAAUAUUUAUUUCGUGUGAUAGUGAAUAAGUACCGAAAGGGACAAUGAGAUUUUAAAUUUUAUUGUAGUAGAGAUUAGAUUUUGUACCUUUUGUAUCAUGGUUUUUCUAGGUAAACUUAAUAUUUAAGGUCACCCGAAAAAAACUGAGCUAUUUUUUAACAUGGCGUUAACGUAGUAAAGUUAUGCUUAGAUUAAAAAAUAGGAGUGAUAUGCUUUUCGAAGUUUUUGAUUGCUGGUUGGUCAAGAAAUGUAUCAAAGUACAGUUUUACUAUAUACUUUGUACUGAUUUGUUCAGGUAACAACAGUUUAAAUGUUCGUAAAACUCACCCUUGAAAGGAUAAGCUUUUAAGGGAGAUUAAGAAAAACUUAGGAGCGAAUUUCUAUUUAGUGGGCUUAGAGUUGGUCAUCUAGUUAGUAAAGUUUUUUAUAAAAUAGUUAAGAUUAAUAAAAUUCGUUAAGAUAUCUAAAUUUUUCUAUAAUUUUAAUUAUUAGGUAUUGGCCCUAUUGAUUUAACUGAUUUAUUAAUUCGUUUCUGGAAAAAUGAGUAUUCAUGUAACUUUUGUAUAUUAACUUAAUUAUUUGUUAUGGAGGUUAACUGGUUAUUAAAGAUGUUGGAAUAUAAGUUGAAGACAAAAAUUAAGUUUGUGCUAAUAAUUUAGGUAAAGGAAUUCGGCAAAUAAAUUAAUGGUUCCGCCUGUUUAUCAAAAACAUCGCUCUUCGGGUAUUAGAAGUUUCAAAGAUGGAGAGUCGGACCUGCCCAGUGACUAGAAUGUUAAACGGCCGCGGUACUCUGACCGUGCAAAGGUAGCAUAAUCAUUUGCCUUUUAAUUGAGGGCUAGUAUGAAUGGUUUGACGAGAACUAAGCUGUCUCUGCCUAAAUUUUUAGAAAUUAUUCUUCAGGUGAAGAAUCCUGAAUUUAGUUGAGGGACAAGAAGACCCUAUUGAGCUUAAGUAAAAUUUCACAUAUUAGUAUGAUAAUUAUAAAAAUUUCAUUAUAUGAAAAGAAUGUGUGCUAUGAAUCUUUAGUUGGGGCGAUUAAGGAACAUAAAAAGCUUCCUUGAAAAUACUAAUAAAUAAUUGGCAAUCAUGCUAAUAGAUGAGAUCCAGUAUUUUACUGAUCAGCGGAAAAAGUUACCAUAGGGAUAACAGCGUAAUCUUUCUGGAGAGUUCUUAUCGAAAGAAGGGUUUGCGACCUCGAUGUUGGACUAAGAUAUCCUAGAGGUGUAGCAGCUUCUGAGGGUUGGUCUGUUCGACCAUUAAAAUCUUACAUGAUCUGAGUUCAGACCGGCGUGAGCCAGGUUGGUUUCUAUCUUCAAUUAAAAUUAAUAAAUUUUCGGUUAGUACGAAAGGACCACCGGGUAGGAUAAAUAAUUUAUAUUGAUGGAAUGUAUCUAAUAGUUUUGUAAAUAUUAUAUAAUU
RNAcentral lists this ribosomal RNA (1480 nucleotides) under Rochia nilotica. RNAcentral describes it as "16S ribosomal RNA". It matches the Rfam family "Bacterial large subunit ribosomal RNA", at positions 440 to 2925 of the family's 2925-position model. Lineage: Eukaryota; Metazoa; Mollusca; Gastropoda; Trochida; Tegulidae. The record is from RNAcentral.